Xiphophorus couchianus (Monterrey platyfish) is the source of this 1060-nucleotide long non-coding RNA. RefSeq lists it as uncharacterized. The transcript is spliced from 2 exons. Lineage: Eukaryota; Metazoa; Chordata; Actinopteri; Cyprinodontiformes; Poeciliidae. The record is from RefSeq and is a predicted model, not a curated record.
CCGACAGAGAAGGAACACACACAUAUAUAUCACCAGAUAAAUCACACCGUCUGCAGCUACUUCUGUUCAAUUUCACUAAACUGCAGACGAGAAACAUAAAAAUGGCUGUUGGGGUUGUUGUUAUAAAUCAUGAAGAGGAGAUGUUUCUCGACUUGUGUGACACCGAGGAGCAGAUGGGAAGUAUGACUUUGAAGGAGCUCAAGGAGAAGAUAAGAGACAAGAUUAAACCCAAAUAUCCUGAUCAUGGAGUAGGUAUUCACGAACUACACUUUAAAGAAAAAUUGCUGGAAGACGACUCCGCUCUGCUGUCUGACCUUGGAAUACAGCACAUGUCUACCGUUACUGUAUCAAUUUGGCUUUCACAGACCCAAAUGGGCAGACUCCCUUUCUGUCCGAUACGUUUAUUUGAGGAAAAAGAUGAUGACAAAAAACGCAACAAUUUAGAAUUAAAAAUCGAUUUUGAGCAACAGUUUGAAAUUUCCAACCAACAACCAGGCAACUAAAGAAGCGUCCAUCAUAUCAUCUGGACCUCAUAUUUUCACCAACAGAUCUAAAGAAGCCACAUCAUUUCAAUAUCAUCCACUCUGGACAGCUGCAAAUAAUUUUUUUCCCUACAUUGUAAAACCCUUCAUGAACACUGAACGCAAAAUGAUUAUUAUACUGUAUAUGUUUAAGCAUGUUGCCAUAUAACAAUUUUCCUAUUAUGUCUACAGAAAAUUACCCAGCUUUCCAUAUAUUUUUUAAAUGUAUGGAGCUGCAGCUAAUGUUUUUGUUCCCUUUCGUGCUUGGACUGUGUAGAUUUUCAGCUGUUUUAACUUUUGGAUCUUGACCUUUCGAACGCAAGGACACUUUUUUUCAGCUCGCUUCCAGGUGGCUUCAGUGGGUCUGCCAUUUCAAUUAAAAAAAAGCAUCUUUCUUAAAAUGGUACCUUGUUUUUCAAGACAGAAAAUAUGCUUGUGACCUACCAAGCUGUUGAAGGUUAAUCAGCUUAUUUCCUUUUAAGAAUUCAGAGUUCAGAGGUCAUCACAAGGUUCAAUAACAAAUAUUCAUCGCGUUGAAA